UACGGAGGAGGCAAGCGUUAUCCGGAAUUAUUGGGCGUAAAGCGUCCGCAGGUGGCGAAUCAAGUCCGCUGUCAAAGCCUGGGGCUCAACCCUGGAGGGGCAGUGGAAACUGAUUAGCUAGAGAGCGGUAGGGGCAGAGGGAAUUCCUGGUGUAGCGGUGAAAUGCGUAGAUAUCAGGAAGAACACCGGUGGCGAAAGCGCUCUGCUGGGCCGCGACUGACACUGAGGGACGAAAGCUAGGGGAGCGAAAGGG
RNAcentral lists this ribosomal RNA (253 nucleotides) under uncultured bacterium. RNAcentral's name for it is "partial 16S ribosomal RNA". It matches the Rfam family "Bacterial small subunit ribosomal RNA", at positions 524 to 776 of the family's 1533-position model. The record is from RNAcentral.